CCCUAUGGGGUGCACCAAGAACAAUCCCGUUUUGGUGGGCGAGCCGGGCGUCGGCAAAUCCGCGAUCGCGGAGGGGCUGGCGCAGCGUAUCGUGGAGGGCAACGUGCCCGAGCUGCUGCGCGAAAAACGCGUCGUGUCGCUCGACCUCGCGGGUAUGAUCGCGGGGACGAAAUACCGCGGCGAGUUCGAGGUUCGUUUCAAGGAAGCUUUGAAGGAGCUGCAGAACUCCGGCAGGGUGGUUCUGUUCAUCGACGAAAUUCAUACCAUCGUCGGCGCAGGCGCGGCGGAAGGCGCGAUGGAUGCGGCAAGCAUCUUAAAGCGGGCGCUGGCGCGCGGCGAAAUCCAGGUGAUCGGCGCGACGACCUUCGACGAGUACCGCAAGCACAUCGAGAAGGACGCGGCGCUGGAGCGGCGCUUCCAGCCCGUAACCGUGGGAGGGC
This 440-nucleotide ribosomal RNA is filed under the name uncultured prokaryote. Its description in RNAcentral is "partial 16S ribosomal RNA". The record is from RNAcentral.